UAAGGAACAAAAUGCUGAGUAACAACAUGAAGUCAGAGUGUUGCUUGCCAAGAGCUGGGAGGCCUGGGUGGUUUCCCAAUCUUAAAGAAGCAGAAGGAUAUUAAAGUGAGCCUCCCAAAGGAAAACGUGGAUCUACUUACCAACGCAGAAAAUGAUACACACGGAUUCGAUUUAGGCUGGAGUACAGUAACUGCAACCUCCGCCUCCCAGGUUCCGGUGAUUCUCAUGGCUCAGUCUCCCAAGGAGCUGGGAUUACAGGCACGCUACAUUCAAAUGACUUGGAAGAGCAGUUUCUCUGAGCCAGGAUACUAAAGUCCGUGUUUAGGAAAGAGCCACAUUGUAUGUUUACCCUACCACAAAGAUACAGUCAUGUGCCUGGGAAAGAUUGAUGCCAGCUCCAGAAAGGCAUCUGAAUGGUCUAAGUAAUGCCAUCCAUCUGUCAGUAAUAGAUUCAGAAAUGGGUAUGUGAUUCAAGUCUGGCCAAUGAGAUGUAUGCAGAAGAGUGCUGGGUAUUCUGGAAAAUUAUCCCUUGUCAUUCAGAGAUCCACAGGAAUCCAGCCUUUUGCUCCUUGAAUGGGAUAAGGAAGCACAUAA
This 594-nucleotide long non-coding RNA is filed under the name Pan troglodytes (chimpanzee). RNAcentral describes it as "lincRNA". The record is from RNAcentral. Lineage: Eukaryota; Metazoa; Chordata; Mammalia; Primates; Hominidae.